UGGCCAACACUUAACUGAAAAGUCAGAGU
RNAcentral lists this non-coding RNA (29 nucleotides) under Mus musculus (house mouse). Lineage: Eukaryota; Metazoa; Chordata; Mammalia; Rodentia; Muridae. The record is from RNAcentral.